RNAcentral lists this ribosomal RNA (497 nucleotides) under uncultured bacterium. RNAcentral describes it as "partial 16S ribosomal RNA". It matches the Rfam family "Bacterial small subunit ribosomal RNA", at positions 29 to 506 of the family's 1533-position model. The record is from RNAcentral.
AGCGAACGCUGGCGGCGUGCCUAACACAUGCAAGUCGAACGUGAAAAGGGAAACCUGAGUAAAGUGGCGUACGGGUGAGUAACGCGUAGGUAAUCUACCCCAGAAUCUGGAAUAACCUGCCGAAAGGCGGGCUAAUACUGGAUAGAGCGAGGGAACUCGUAAGAGAGUUUUUCGGGAAAGGGAGCCCGCAAGGGCCUUCGUUCUGGGAUGAGCCUGCGUCUCAUUAGCUAGUUGGUAAGGUAACGGCUUACCAAGGCGAUGAUGAGUAGCUGGUCUGAGAGGAUGAUCAGCCACACUGGAACUGAAACACGGUCCAGACUCCUACGGGAGGCAGCAGUGGGGAAUCUUGCGCAAUGGACGAAAGUCUGACGCAGCCACGCCGCGUGAGUGAAGAAGGCCUUCGGGUUGUAAAGCUCUGUCGGAUGGGACGAACAUCUUCAUAGUGAAUAGCUAUGAGGACUGACGGUACCAUCAAAGGAAGCACCGGCUAACUCUGU